UACGUAGGUGGCAAGCGUUGUCCGGAUUUAUUGGGCGUAAAGAGCGUGUAGGCGGUCCGGUAAGUCAGCUGUGAAAGUCAAGGGCUCAACCCUUGAAUGCCGGUUGAUACUGUCGGGCUAGAGUCCGGAAGAGGCGAGUGGAAUUCCCGGUGUAGCGGUGAAAUGCGCAGAUAUCGGGAGGAACACCAAUGGCGAAGGCAGCUCGCUGGGACGGUACUGACGCUGAGACGCGAAAGCGUGGGGAGCAAACAGG
This 253-nucleotide ribosomal RNA is filed under the name uncultured bacterium. Its description in RNAcentral is "partial 16S ribosomal RNA". It matches the Rfam family "Bacterial small subunit ribosomal RNA", at positions 524 to 776 of the family's 1533-position model. The record is from RNAcentral.